RNAcentral lists this ribosomal RNA (271 nucleotides) under uncultured archaeon. Its description in RNAcentral is "partial 16S ribosomal RNA". It matches the Rfam family "Archaeal small subunit ribosomal RNA", at positions 477 to 747 of the family's 1478-position model. The record is from RNAcentral.
CGGCGCCCCAAGUGGUGACCAUAUUUAUUGGGCCUAAAGCGUCUGUAGCCGGAUCAAAAAGUCCUUGGUGAAAUCCUGAUUCUUAAAAUUAGGGCGUGCUAGGGAUACUAUUGGUCUAGGGACCGGGAAGGGUAGAAGGUAUUCCAUGGGUAGGGGUAAAAUCCUUUAAUCCAUGGAGGACCACCGGUGGCGAAGGCGUUCUACUGGAACGGGUCCGACGGUGAGAGACGAAAGCGUGGGUAGCAAAUCGGAUUAGAUACCCGUGUAGUCC